CCUACGGGCGGCAGCAGUGAGGAAUAUUGGUCAAUGGCCGCAAGGCUGAACCAGCCAAGUCGCGUGAGGGAUGACGGUCCUAUGGGUUGUAAACCUCUUUUGUCAAGGAAUAAAGUGAGCCACGUGUGGCGUUUUGCGAGUACCUGAAGAAAAAGCAUCGGCUAACUCCGUGCCAGCAGCCGCGGUAAUACGGAGGGUGCAAGCGUUACUCGGAUUUACUGGGCGUAAAGGGUGCGUAGGCGGGUUUGUAAGUCAGUUGUGAAAGUCUGUAGCUUAACUACAAAACUGCAUUUGAUACUAGCAGUCGUGAGUGUAGGAGAGGUAGGUGGAAUUCUUGGUGUAGGGGUAAAAUCCGUAGAUAUCAAGAGGAAUACUCAUUGCGAAGGCGACUUACUAGAACAUUACUGACGCUCAUGCACGAAAGCGUGGGGAGCAAACAGGAUUAGAUACCCUAGUAGUC
Molecule: ribosomal RNA, 460 nt
Filed under: uncultured bacterium
Lineage: Bacteria
Description: partial 16S ribosomal RNA
Rfam family: Bacterial small subunit ribosomal RNA
Source: RNAcentral